RNAcentral lists this long non-coding RNA (480 nucleotides) under Ursus americanus (American black bear). RNAcentral's name for it is "lncRNA (ENSUAMG00000019537.1)". The record is from RNAcentral. Lineage: Eukaryota; Metazoa; Chordata; Mammalia; Carnivora; Ursidae.
GAGGAGACUUGAUCCGAGGGCCAGACGGGUGUCGCCCUAGUGACCCAGGAGGGUCUUCUGAAGUGACCCAGUCUCUGUAGUACUCCGGCAAUAAAGACCGACCAGCGACGGUGAAAAAAAACUGGAAGGCCUCCCGGCUGCAGUGAGGCGGAACGUCUUUUGGCCAGAAACCGAAAGAAGAAAUCGGAAGUGACGUCGCGGUCAAAACAAGCCGGGGUUUGGGGGCCUGCAGUGACUCUGUGGCCGCAGAUGGAAAGGCCCGACUCGCUGUCGGCUGUCGAAGGACAAUUUCAAGAUUAGGAAGAACCGGGGGUCUCCUGUUACUAGGAUCCACCGCGGACUAGCACAGUUGCCCAGUGUGUCUCUCCCUUCAUCCUUGGGCUCUGACCGAUGGAGAUUUUUCAAUAUCUGAAUUCCAAGAACACAGUGGAUACCACUCCUAUAAAAUGAAGAGGAAAUCAUGAAGGAGUGUUUUAAUUA